AGUGAACGCUGGCGGUAGGCUUAACACAUGCAAGUCGACCGGCAGCCCAGUAAGAGCUUGCUCUUACGGGUGCCGAGUGGCGGACGGGUGCGGAAUACAUCGGAAUCUACUUUUUCGUGGGGAUUACGUAGGGAAACUUACGCUAAUACCGCAUACGACCUACCGGUUAAAGUAAGGGAUCUACGCACCUUGCGCGAUUGAAUGAGACGAAGUCGGAUUAGCUUGUUGGCGGGGUAAAGGACCACCAAGGCGACGAACCGUAGCUGGUCUGAGAGGAUGAUCAGCCACACUGGAACUGAGACACGGUCCAGACUCCUACGGGAGGCAGCAGUGGGGAAUAUUGGACAAUGGGCGCAAGCCUGAUCCAGCCAUGCCGCGUGAGUGAAGAAGGCCUUCGGAUUGUAAAGCCCUUUUGUUGGGAAAGAAAAGCAGCAGGUGAAAACCCCGCUGUUCUGACGGUACCCAAAGAAUAAGCACCGGCUAACUUCGUG
RNAcentral lists this ribosomal RNA (491 nucleotides) under uncultured bacterium. Its description in RNAcentral is "partial 16S ribosomal RNA". It matches the Rfam family "Bacterial small subunit ribosomal RNA", at positions 29 to 507 of the family's 1533-position model. The record is from RNAcentral.